GGCCUGUUUGAGCAGGCAUUGCAAAUCUUAAAAACAAUAAGAUGAAUAAUCAUCACUGUUUGAUCACUGCCAUUUAUUGAGUACCUUCUCCAUGGCAGAUGCUAAGAUAAGACCUAACAUGCAUCAUCUCUGAUUUUACAAGUCUUCGAGGUUGCAGCCAUGAAAAUGCCCUGGUCAGCCAUGAUUGACCAUGACAGGGGUACUAGUGCAGGCCUGUUCCUGCUGGACAUGGAACCCCUCUAAUGGCUUAAGGACUCCCACUGGCUGGCAGAAACUUUCUUAGAACAACACUGUAGUCUAAGACUCUUCCUACUGAAUUCUCUUUCCUUCUCCCUCUCCUUUCAUGGGGGUCAGGCCUGCACUGCAGUCUGGGGCUUCCUCUGCCUACUUCAGUUCCUUCCUGAACAUUUUACAGGUGUUUCCCCCAAUAAUUCUCUUAUAUGCCUAAUCCCAUCUUGGUGCCUGCAUCUCGAAGGAACUAACACAGUGGACAGGAGUCCCAUUUUGCAGACAGACACUGGAUCAAUGAUGAAGUUACUUGUGUAAGUCCUACAGCCAACAAAUGUUAAGAGCUGGGGUUGUGUGCAGGUAUGUUUGAUUCCACAAGCCAAGUCUUAGAAGCAUACUAGGCUUCCUCUCUAAUGAUCUAUGCAGGCUUAACUGUGAGGACAGGGAGUGAUGACACAUUUCAGUUUGGCCCCUUUGUUUUGUCGAUGAGAAACCUGAGACCAGUGAGGGAAAGGAUUCGCCCAUGGGUGCCAGUGGGAGGGGUGCACCUGGGCUGUGCACAGCCAUUUCCCUCCUUUGGAGGCUGAGGGAGGAGGUCACAGGGAGGCCUCAGGGUAUGGAGGGAGGUCAGGCUGGGGGGCUUAGUGUCUGACCCACCAGCCUGGCAGGCGGGAAUGUGCCUGUAGAAGCCCACGGCCCUCUUGGGGAGAAGCCAUGAAGUGAGGACUGAGUGCUGCCUGGAGGUGCUGGCUGGGAUGCACAGGGAAGAGCUGUCAGGGUAUGGGUCUAACACUGGAACAGCUGGGGGACAUUCCCUGGAUAUCCCUGCAUUGCCUUGAGGCUCUCCCAUCCCUGUUUGAUCCGUAAGCUCCAAGGAGACAUGUUUCCCAGCCAUAAUGCCUUCUGAUCCCAAUCUCUUCUACUCUUUUCAUUGGCAAGAGUCAUUCUCACCCGGGUUUUCUUAUAUAAUAAUUAUAAACUCAUUCAGGGCCUGUGAGUGAAAAGGCACACAUAUACAUUCAGGUCUAAUAUUCACUGAGCAACCAUCAGCACAAUGGUAUGUGACCUCUUUGAAUGCUGCACUAAUGCUCCACUGUCUAGAAGGAGGCCAGACUGCUCUGGGGACCAGGUGCAGAGGGUGCCCUCAAGUGUCUAGUGUCAGAGAGAGAGGGGCUACUCCACUUUGGCCAGGGUGAACUUGAGUUGGUGAUGACAAACAUCUGCAGCUAGUCUAUUUUUCUAAUCUCACCCUCCAAACAGCCCCAUCUUCUUGCAGGGAGGAUGGGUGAAGGCAUUUUCAAAAAUGGACAUCACAUGUGACAAACAGGCAAAGGACCCUGACAGAGCCACAAAACUGACACGCUCAUGAAAACUCAGACCGCUGACAAUGGUGAGCGCCGACCAAUUCAGCGCCAGGCGUGGAGGCUUCUGGCAAGAGUGGUGGGCUCUGUGCGUCCUGAUGGUGGCAGCAGAGACCAGCUUGGGAGCCACCUGGCUCCUCUGCCCUAGCCCAUUAUGGCCUGAAUCCAAUCAAUUUCAGUUCUCAGCACUUCUGAAAACGUGCGUGGCUUAGAGUGUCUGGCAGGGCUCAGGAGAGAAAAGCAUUUCUCAGCCCCGGGACACAUAUAUGCCUCCAGGCACUGGUUGUGGCUUGCAAUCUGGGAGGGCAGGUGAACGGACACCCUCCCUCCUUGCACAGGCCUGGGAUCUGCCUUACUCAACUCCCACUUCUACCAGGAGCAGAGGAUCACCGCUGCCCAGCACCCCGCCCAUCUGAAUUCUGACUCUGGUGGCUUCAGAGAAGCAAGGUAGGGGCCAGUGCUGGUAUGAAAUGCCAGAUGAGAGGAAACUGAUGCAUGCACUUUACUCCUGACUCAGAGUGCCUGAAAUAUCUGGCAAACUGGCAAAGGAUGAAACCCUUCUUUGAGGUCUGUAGAGUAGCUUUAAGAUAAAUGAAGCCACUGAGAAGGUCCAAAACAAGGGGCCCUUAGACGUGGAAGAGGUCUGCUUUCCUGAUAACUAGAGUGGUGCUGGGCUAUGAAAACAGUCCAAAUAGAUGAGGAUAGUUCCUGAGAGCACAGGGUUCUGAAGCUGGACAAAUAUUCUUCCACCUUAAUGGCCCUCUCACUGGAGCCUUCACAGGGUUAACGAUGGUCCCGCAGGAGUUGGGGCCAUGACUGAGGACAUGGAGCUGAUGUGGAGGCAGUCAGGGCCAAGGCAAGAGCCUCCUUGUGUAUAGUGGAAACGCAAGACAGACAUCAAAGGGAGUGGGGUGUGCGGUUCCCAAGGGGCUACCAGAGUCCACUUUUAUUAAAAGUUUGUGUCUUUCUUUAGAAAGUAAUAUGUUCCAUCUCCAGCACCUGAAGGCUCCUUUCAGGGUGCCAGAAGAAUCCUCAAGGGACAGUCCCAGGCUGUGUCCUUCCUCCUGUCUUGGCUGACAUUUUUAUGCAUGGUUUAGGCAGCCCAUGGGCUUUCCAGCUUUGCAAUAAGAUCUGAUCUAAUUUCAAGCUUAUACAUAACAGAAGGGCUGGGGGAGAAGUAGGAGUUCUUUUAGAAUUGCAAAAUCCAGGUGGGUGUAGCCUGUGGGGUGCAGGCUAUCCAGCUCAAAGAGGGAGGCCCAUAUCUCAGAUUCCCUAAUGCUCGGCACAGUGUCUGGCACACAAUGGGCACACAGGAAAUCCUGCACUGAAUCAAACAGAUUUUGUAUUACCAGAUCUAGGCUGACUCACUGUGUGGUCAGGACCUUGGGUCAAUCACUUCACCUGGUGACUCACUCCCUACCUGUAAGGUGUGGAGGACAGCUGGAGUCACUGUGGCACCUGUGUGUUUAGCAGUGUGUUUGCUUGUUCCUGCUUUUAUGUCUCUGGCUGGUCUAAGAUGGAAUGAUAAAAAAAUAACGGAAUGCACUUUGUAAACGAGAGCAUCCUAGACACAUGUAAAGAUUGGAAAAUUAGAAAGCUGUCUCUACUGUAGUUACUUCUCAGAUAUGACCAACCAUUAUUAAGAAUUCAUUGGCUAAUAGGGCUACAUUUUCUCAUGAUCAUUCUUCUGUUUUAGAAGUGGGCAACUGCAGUUUUAAGAAUAAAUGUGUAAAUGUGUGUUUUCAUGAGAGACAAUAAAGCUGUUUUCAUUAAGAAUGAAAUAUGCAACUUGCAAACACUUUUACUUUUCUUGAAUUGGGUCCUUCAGCAGAAGCAGUUUGCCCAGCCCUGACAUGGAAAGUUUACUUUGCUCAUCAACCUGAAGGAGACCGAAAGCUAUGAGAGGCGGCUCCUGAAAAGAAUCUAGACUCCGGAUAUAAAAAGAUCUUGCAACACAAGGCCAAGUGGAAAUCAUGGUUCGCAUUAAAGGCAUAAACCUCCUGCACUAACAACCCAGAGCAGGAGGAAAAGCUGGGAGACCUGGCUCAGCAGCCUUCCCUGAGGGAAGCCUUCGGGGCUUUGUUCCUCUUGAGAUCAGGGCAAGCCUAUGUAUGACCUGAAGCCAAUACAACCAGCAGAGCUGAUGCCAGUGCUGGCUGCCUGAGUGCUACUAAAGAAAGAGUCCACCAUCGGCUCCCUCUUCCGUAGCCAGACACAGGUGGAAUGCUGUGCUUCCUUUUGGGAGACAAAGCAGAAGCUACCCCAGAGGGGGCAGAUGGGAGACAGGCCCAGGCAAUGCAGCCCUACAAAGAAGACUUGAAGGGCCGGGGCUGAGCAGCUUGGAUGAAGAGAAGGCUGCCUUUCAGAGCUGUUUCAAAUGUUUCAGACGUUGCUAGACAAACUAGAGUUGUAUGGCUUCAGAUGGCACAGCUUAGGGCCAUAGAGUGGGAAUCACAAGAAGGCAAACUUUAGGCCCCCAGGAGAGCUGGACAACAACCUGGAGGGUCAGAGGAGAAUGGGCUGUCCAAGGAGCGGGGAUAUGAGGGUGGGGCAGUGUGGCCAUCCCUGGAAGGGGUAAGGGAGUGGCAGAUGGUAACCAUUUGGGGUGGGGUGUGGCUGAGGAUUCCUGCAAGGCUAUCAGAGAAACUCUAAGAAUCAUAAGAAUCAAAGCUCAAGUACAUGAGGGAAGACAUAAUGAAAUCCCUAAAGUUCUGAGAGGUUGUACCAGAUUCUUUAUGGAGAAUACAGAGAGAAUGCCUCCUGACUCCUCAUUCACAGAGUGCCAGGCAGCAGCAAGGAGAAGCUGGUGGCCUUGGGAGGGCAAAAACUAAGGACAAGGUCCACAAUGCAAUCAGCUCACAUCACCUACGAACAAAUAAAGUGGGGUGGGGGUGGAGAGUUGCUAGAGUUUACGUAACUCUCAAGCCUUAAUUUAGCUGCAAGAACUAGGUUUUUGCCAAAGCUAUAGAACUUCCCACCAGAUGAAAGCUUUAUCUCUUUUUCUUUCUUAGGAGAAGAGAGACAGAAGGAGAGAAGAGGGGCAGGAGGAGAGAAAACACAAGAAAGAGGAUGGAAGAUAAAGAGGAAGGCCAGAGUGAGGCAGGAGAAAGCUGAGCUGGAACCUAACUCCUGUUGAUCUGCUGCAGAGACCCUCUCAUUCCACAAUUGCUCCCGCCAUGGUAAGCUCCAUUCCUAAUUACCUAGGCAAACUGGCCUGCAUUUCUCUCCAGAGUUCUAAAGGAUGGUGUGAGAGUGUCUGCCAAGAUUUGGAUUUUACAGAGACAAGUCUCAGCUUUUGCUUUCUGGUUCAAGGUUUAUGCUUUUGGAAGGCUGUGAUGACAGCAGCAGGAAAUAGGACAAAUAGGAGUUUUUGUUAGGGGGGCAGCUAAUAGAACAGCCUCAUGAAGGACCUAGGCACACCCUAGAGAUGCAAGGGACAGGCCUGCAGUGGUGGCUCCUAUAAACCCAGUGCACUGAAUCCCCAGAGCUUGCAGCCCAUGGCUUGGGGUCUGGUCCAGUGCACUCGUCAGAGAGCAUAACAGGACCUUUGGGACUCCUAGGGAACCUCUUGGAGAGUCCUGGGACCUGCCUAAAGUACCUGACUUGAGCACACCAGCAUCUGUGUACCCUUAGCUUCAAAUUCUCCAAAGCCAGAAAAGGAAAAAGACACAAUGUCCUGGCCUGAUCAUGCCUGAGAAUCACUUACCUAAAAAGAACAUUGGGGCUUUUGACCUGACAUCCUCCCAGGCAUGCUGACAUCUCUCAGCACUUUCUCUCCCCUCACAAAAGAACUUGUUGAGGAGGAAGGAGAAGAGGCAGCGGCUAGUGGUUAGCAGAGACAGUGGCCAAGUGUCCAGGAAGAGGGGAUGGGCAGGCCUACCUGAGGAAGGGCUGAUGUCUAAGGAGGGGGUCUGCUCCCUCUGGCACACAGCCUGCCUGCUCCUGAGACCCUGUGGCUUCUCCUGGAGCACUGUGCAAAGCUGCUUGGUAUUCUCACUUGGUUCUGUUGGAUGGCUGCAAAGCUGUCUGGCCCUGCUCUCCUCAGUUGCCAAAGGUUCACUGCCGGCUCCAGUUUGCCUGGAACGAAACAGCUCAGGCAACACAGCUGUGCAUCCUUGUGAGACUGCCUAAUUUCCCAUUUCAAGGCAGGAUGCCAUACCCCAAGGUGUAAUUUGAGUUUUGGGCAUAAGCUGAAUUUUGCAACUGAAUUCUGAAACUCAGCCCUCCAGGCUGUGCGUGCUUGGGAAUUAAAAAGCUUUCUUCUCCUUUUCCCUCCUCCACUAUCUACCACCCUCCCCAAUAUCAAUACUGAUACCAUCAUUAAUGUUAAAUUUCUAUUUAUUGAGUGUCUACUAUGUGCUAGGCACUUGUAUGGCUGCACCUGACAGCAAUGGCUUACCUUAAGCCUAUCCUGAGAAUGACACUAUGGUCUAAGAAGAAUGUGUGCUUGGAAUUCCAAGCUAAGAAAUCUGGAAGUGGCCGAUCUGGAGAUUCAUUCCUUACUUAUGGGAAACAUCUAAACCUCUGGCCCAUUUCAUGGAAUGCAGGCUGUACAGGGGACUGAAGCCCUUUGUUUUGGGUUAAAUGAAAGUUGACAGGUGGAGGUUGUUAGGGGGAGGGCGCUAAGUGAAAAUGCUAUAUCAACUGCAUGCUUUUUACCAGCAGAUGCAGUUCUAUCCAGCUCAUCACCACUGGACUCCUCUGUAUGUGAGUCCCCUCAAUAAACCUGAUGUCUCAUUUGCUGGCUGCAGGUCUCUUUUUCAGCCUGUUGAACAUGGUACCAUCACUACUGAAGUCAACAAGGGUCCAGCAUGACAACACUGUACUAAUCAAUUUCCCUGUAUCAUCUUAAUCUUCACAAAACCCUAUGAGGUAGAAAAGGACAAAUCUUAACCCAUGUCCUAUGUGAUUAUAAGGGUACUCACCCUCCACCUUUUAAUUAUUCUCUUUUGGGCUACAAAUCUGUGGAUCUGCAUACCUGAAUGAUUCACUGUGGCUUUCUGGUAGAAAAACUAAUAACACCAUUUGUCCAUGUCAAGCCAAGGAGACAAGCUCAACAUACAAAGAACAAGGAGAGAACAAUGGAAGAUGGCCUAUAAUUCAGAAGCACAUUGGGUGGAGCAUAUUGCACAUGUAGAAGCUUGUCACGGAACCCAAGAAAGCUGGAGGAACCUGGGAAGGCUUCCUGGAAGAAGGGAAAGCUGAGUUCUCUUAUCACCACUCCACCAUUUGUUCAUGUCCUCAUGUACAUAUUCAACAAACAUUUAUUGAGGGCUGAGUGUGGCUUUGUGUAUCCCAGAUAAACUAGUAUCCUGAUCUUAGCCAUGGAUCUCAGCUGCUACUAUCUCAUUCCCCACCAUGGGCAAUAAGAUGCAUACUGGUAGGGAAAAUUCUGGCAAAUUUUGUAAAGUUUAUCCAUAGGCAUAAACACUUUACCCUGUGUUAUGCUCAGAAGAGGAACACACAUUUAUUAAGCACCUACCACAUCUGCAAAUAACUUUACUCCCAAAAACUGAUUUGAUACUUAAGCAGCUUUUGUAAGGUGUGUUUCAUUCCCUAAAACUAAAGUUCAGAGAGGUUAAAAGAUUUAUCCAAGGUCACACAUUCAAGGUGGAGCCAAGAUGCACAACUAAGUCUAUUACUGUUUUUUUCAUACUCCCCCACUUCUCUGUCUCCCUCUUUCUAUUCUCAGCUGCAGACUCUGCCAGCUGCAAACUUCUUUAGUAGUUAUUCCUGAUUACUUCUGCUCCUGGUGAGCUCAUCACCUGAUUAAAGGGCUCCUAGCUUCACCAGACCUUGGAGAUGACAAACAGAUGACCCUGGAGAGGCAGGCUCUCUAGGGCUGUUCCAUUUUGGUCUGGCCCCCAUUCCAGCCGGGGAUAUAGUUCAAACCCUGACUCUGAGUUGAGCCCAAGAAAAUAAGACCAAGAUGAAAGCUUAAGUGCAUCCCCUGAAAGGCUCUUAUCUCCAGGCUAAGCUUGGAAGUGGGGAGACAGAGCACCACAACCCAACUUGGGGAUGUUGUCUCUUGUAGAAACACCUUCCUCAGUAACAGAAGGGUAGCUGCCCCUAUGUCCUAGAGAGCGGGAGUAAGAGAAAGUGGCUCCUUGCCUCUGAGAUUUGCUUAGCUGAUCCUCCCUCACCCCAACCAUAGCUCUUAACAAACCCAGGUACGCAUAAAUAUAAAUACCACCCUAUGUGUAUUUCCUGUGCCCUCCCUUUUCUCUUUCCUGAGGAGUUAUGGAGAGAAAAUAAAUGCCAGAAUUACAGAAAACUAGGUAUAAAUCUACUCACUAGCUUUAUGGCCUUGCAUCUAUUUCCCAUAUAAGCUGGCAGGGUUGGGAUUCUGUCUAGCUCUUUCCAUUUAUCAUGAUGUCCUCUUUUUGGUUCUUUUAGAUUUUGCAUCGGGUUGAUGUAGUGGAUGCUGUAGUCCACUACCCAGAUUCCUUCCCCAACCCACAACAAUGAGGUUCUCAUUCCGGAGCUGCUAGGAGGGAUGCCAGAUAAUAGCACACAGCUGAACUUCUCUUCAGCUAUUGCCCUCAGAUUAAGAAAGCUGCCUUGCUCAAGGUUACACGCCUUUCCUGGGAAACCAGUAUCCAAUGACUGGUUCCUGUAAAAGGAAUGGAGCUGCCUUAAAAGAGCUGCCUUGCUUCAAUUUGGGAAGACUAUGAAGAGCCAUCCCAGCUCUGGAGUUCUCCGUAGGGUUGGGUUUUUGAGACUAUGCAGAAGUUAUUCCAUGAGUUCCAAGCCCAGGUCAUGAAAGAUAACUUGUAAUAAAUCUGGCUACCCUGAAGCUGCCAUGCUUGAGAGACCACACGAGAUGGAGAGAGAUGCUUAGGAGUCCCAGCUGUCCAAGCCUCCAGCUAUGUGAAUCUUCCCAGCAGCAACUGCCAGACAUGUGGUACACCCAAAAUGACUUUGGGGCUACACUUGGAAUUGGCAAGGUUCCAGAAAACAGAGGGACUAUCAUCAGAGACAGCGCACAAAAAGUGGGAGAAAGGUCACCAGCCUCACUCAUGGGCUAUUAUGAAUAAAGCUGCUAUGAACACUUGUUUACAAGUUCUUUGUGAGGACACAUGUUUUCAUUUAUCUUGGGAAAAUACCUAGAGAUGGAACUCUGGGACACAUGGUAAUAAAGUAUAUUGGCAUAAUGCAAGAGUCAAGAUGCAGAAAAUAACUACUGUGUGAUGUCUCUCUCCCAGCUUUAACCCGCCUGAAGGGCAGCACUGAGUUCAACACACUGUCCCACAAUUGUUGCACUCUCACACUGAAGUGAACAGAUUCUUUCUCCGUGCCGUGCAGCUCCCGGCAGAGGAUGAGGGAAGGGUACCAUCGGUGAUUCAGCACUGUGUUUCCUAUCCUCUUCAAUGACUCUUUCAGCGAUAUGAAGGUAAAACCAGGUACUGUGAGUGCUCAUCUUAUUUUUGGUUCUUUUGAAGGUGUUUUUUGGUGUAGAUAGUUAUUAAAUUUGGUGUUCCCGCAUGGGGGAACAAUUGAUAGAGCCUUCUAUUUGAUCAUUUUGCUCUGCUCAUUCUAUAUACCACAUUUUCUUUAUCAAAUCUUAUUUAAUUUUGAUUCCAUAAUUUACUAAAGACUAAAUGUGAUAUGCUAAGUUUUUCACAACAAUUAUAUUUUAUCCCACUUUUUUGUCUUCAAAUAGCUUUUGCUUUUGUAUUUCUGUGCUAUGUUAUAGUACAUUACACAUUCAUUGUGGAUUGCAACUUUUAUAAAACAAUCCUCUAUCCAAAGCAUUUUCCUCUGGAGUUUUAUUUUAACCAAUAUUAAUAGUGCCACUACUACCUUGUUCUGACUUUUGCUUUUUUUGAUUUAAAAAUAUAUUUGUUUUAUUUUUGUCUGAUUUUUCUCUAUCUUUAUUUGUAAAUCUUUUGUGUCAUUUGAGUUAGGUGAAUGGAGCACAUGGCUAUGCUUUGUUUUAAAUGAAAGUCUUUGUCAUCCAGCGGAGGACUUUAAUUCAUUUACAUUUAUUGACAUAAAUGUUGGUAGGUCUUAUUUCUCUCAUCUUGCUUUACAAUUUCUAUUUUACUGCUUGUAUUGCUUUUAUUUUGAUGCUUCCUUAUUUCUUCAUCUUUAAAGUAUAUGUACUGCUAUUUUCCUACCAUAAUUACAUUUCUCUAAUUACAAAUAUGAAACUCUGAAUCUCUUCCUUACCAAUCCUAUGUAAAAUAAGAAAUUUAUCAAGCUGGUGGGCUUGAUAAAGGGCUUACCCAUUCCUGUUUCUAAACAAACAAUUAUGCUUAUUUAAACAAUCUGUUCCAAACAACUACCAGCAAAAAUGUGAACUGUUCUUCAUUAGUCUACUAAUUGAAUUUUCUAACUAUCCUGAUGCCAGGAACACCAUGUAUCAGUUAUGCCUAAAAUGUCAUUUAAAAAUAAAAUUGCUUGAGGACAAAUCAGAAAUUAGCAUCUUUAACUAUUUAACUAUUUAAUUACUUUAAGGGCUCCUGGUCAUAGUUUCCACAUUCUACUUCCUUCUCUGUUACAGACUUGAAAGCGUGUGUCAGAUCCCUUCACUAUAUCUUCAGACCUGCCCCAAGGAGUGAGGAAGGGCAACACCAAGAACUUCUCUCCAAGGACCAUAACCUGCGAACCCCAUCUCACCUCCUCCUGCCAGAUGGACACAGUCAUUGUCCUCCUGGCUGAUCCCAUGUCCAUGUCUUGCUCUGGCUACUUUCAUACACCCAUAAUGACAUUUUCCAUCUACUCAAUUUUUUAAAAGCUCAGCUCGAACCUCACGGAUUUUCCUGACAAUCUGCUUCUCUCAAUGGCCUUAAUUUAAGUGAGGGUUGUCAGUCUUACUGGGUCUCGUUUUUUGUCUUAAAUAAUAACUAUUUAUGGGUAUCAAGUGUCUCCUCAAUUUGGCUAUGAUCCUUCACGGCAGAAAUACUGUCUUAUCUUGUGAUCAUGGAGUCACAAGAUUUCAUGGCUAGGAAUAUUCGUCAAAUUAAUCCUAGAUUGAGGAUCAGGUAGUAUGUGGUCUGAUUCUAACUCAACAACUUGCAGAAACUCACUUCUUUUUUCUUUUUUUUUCCCCAGGAGGAGCUAUCGUAUUAACUGACGAAACUCACUUCAUUUCUUUGGACCUGCAAAAUGAGGAUGGGCUCUAAACCACCUCUAAAGUUAAUAUUCUAUGAUUCCAUGAUAAGGCUAUUUGUCAUUUAUAAAAAAAGGAACUUCCACAUAGCCCAGAGAAAGGAAAUGACUUUUUCAAGUUUACAGAGUCAAUUAAUGGACGAAAUGUAAUUUGAAAUUCAAUCUCCUGAUCCCCAGUCUAUUGGGAGUUCUUUCAGAAUGUCCCUUGACUGUCCCUCAAAGUGCCAGCAUGUAUGAAACCUUGUUAAGGAUGUAUGCUCAAUGAAAAUACACAAAUUGACUUAACAAGAAACUAAACUCUCCAGAAAGAUGCAGUUGACCCAAAACUCUGAAUAUCUUUUAUGUUUAAAACUUUCUUUUUUGAACAAAAUUGUACAGUUACUUCUCUAUUUCAACUCUUAAGCCUUUUAUGCCACGUCAAAGGUUAGCUCUCUUUUCUCUCUGUUAAUAAAGUCUUAUUCUUGACUUUGGAACUGUAUGCCAA
RNAcentral lists this long non-coding RNA (11187 nucleotides) under Homo sapiens (human). RNAcentral describes it as "HSALNT0314753". The record is from RNAcentral. Lineage: Eukaryota; Metazoa; Chordata; Mammalia; Primates; Hominidae.